AAUGAAGAAGGUGAGUUACAUAGCAAUGCCGAUGGUGGUCACAACUGUUUCCCAGUACAUGUUAAGGGUUAUUUCCAUGAUGAUGAUUGGCCACCUGGGUGAGCUCUCUCUGUCUGGUGCCUCCAUCGCCACUUCUCUUACCAACGUCACUGGCUUCAGUCUUCUGGUAUAUACCCUUAUCAUCAUAUUCACAUUUCCUAUAGAGUGAUUUACAAAAUUAAUUUGAAAAUAACUUGCACAUAUGCCGAUCAGUUUGGGAUGUCAAGUGCACUGGAAACACUUUGUGGCCAAGCUUAUGGAGCAGAACGAUACCAGAUGUUAGGAAUCUAUACCUAUGGAGCCAUCAUAUCUCUACUUUUAGUUUGUAUACCAAUAUCUGUUCUAUGGAUCUUCACAGAAAGACUACUUAUUUUGAUCGGUCAAGACCCUUUAAUCUCACAUGAAGCUGGCAAUUAUUCAAUUUGGCUUAUUCCCACCCUAUUUCCAUACGCAAUUCUUCAAUUGUUGAUUCGCUUCUUGUUAGCUCAAAGUUUGAUAUAUCCAAUGCUUUUAAGUUCUGUGGCAGCUUUAGUGUUCCACAUACCUAUAUCAUGGCUGCUAGUAUUCAAGUUUAAGAUUGGAAGUGCCGGGGCAGCACUAGGCAUCGGUUUGUCAUAUUGGCUUAAUGUUGUCUUGCUUGGAAUUUAUGUCAAGUAUGCAUCAUCAUGUGAAAAGACUAGGAUCUCAUUCUCACAGCAUGUCUUUCCAAGCAUUAGAGAAUUUUUCCGACUGGGCAUACCUUCUGCUAUCAUGAUAUGGUAAUUAUAAUCACCAUUAUAUCCUGAUUAUAUCCUGUAAUUAGGUCUAAUUAUACAUACUGUUAACGAACAGUCUUGAGUGGUGGUCGUAUGAGCUUGUUAUAUUGCUCUCUGGCCUUUUGCCUAAUCCUCAACUUGAAACAUCAGUCCUGUCAAUAUGGUAAUUCUCUUAUUCAUUCUAUAGCAUAUAAUAUGAGCUUGAACUGUGCUAUAACUCUAUAAUAGCUUCUGUUUAUUUGGCAUUUGACCGAUAGUCUUGUAGUCUCUUCACUUCACUACUUCAUACCAUACUCUUUUGGUGCUGCUGCAAGGUACAUCCCAGAACUUGAUGUUUGUGCAUUAAAUUUUUUUAAUUUUUUGUUUUGGCUAAUAUUCUAAUUAUGUAAUUCUUGAAUGUGUAUAUUGAACAUGAUAUAGCACUCGAGUCUCGAAUGAAUUAGGUGCAGGGCAUCCAGAGGCAGCUAGCCUGGCUGCUUGGGUUGCAUCAUUUCUUGCGGUUAUAGAGGGGGUCACUGCAAGUGCAAUUCUUUUUAGCUGCAGGUCUGUACUGGGAUAUGCUUUCGGGGAAGAGAAAGAAUUGGUUGAUUAUGUCAAAGAUAUGGUUCCCCUUUUGAGUCUUUCUGUUCUGAUGGACUGCUUAGCAGCACUGUUUUCUGGUUUGCAUCUUUCUUCUCUCUGUUUCUUAAAUAUUUUAAUGUCGUUUGGCCUUUUGUUUGACAACUUGUAAACAUAAUUUUGUCAAAGACCACCUGUCUGAUUGCUAAAGCGAAUUUACUUUACUAGAUAACUAAAUUUGAUGGCAAUGUAUCUUCUCUGAAUCAGGGGUUGCUAGAGGAGUUGGGUGGCAGCAUCUAGGAGCAUAUGUGAACCUUGGAGCAUUUUUUCUGUGUGGAAUUCCGAUGGCAUGUGUGUUGGCUUUCGUUUUUCAUUGGAGAGGGAAGGGCCUUUGGACAGGUUUAACUACUGCUUCUUUGCUGCAAGGUUUGAUGCUUAUGAUGAUAACAUUCUUCACAAACUGGAAGAAGCAGGUUUGUUGCUAGUAAAAUUACAUAUACUUAUUGCUUUUUACAUUCUUUUUUGCUUAUUGGAAUAUGUUCUCGUCUUAAUAUCAGAAAUAUGCAGAAGCUGAUGAACUGAAUAUUCUAACAUAUGGUUCUGUAGGCAAGAGCGGCAAGGCAGAGGACAAUUGAGGGGCGAUCUCAGCUAACAAUUGAAUAAGUAAACACUUCAUUAUAAGGCUUCUAAUAAAAGUUUUCUUGGAAGAAGCUGUCCUAUUUCCUAAGAUGGCACCAGUGCACCGUAAAAAAGGUUUAAAGGAGCAAUCCCUUCUCUGAAAUUUUAUGAUCUGAAUAUGCAGUUGUGAAUUGAAUUAGAAAUAGAUUCACAUUUUGCUGGAUGCAAAUGUGUUGGAAGUUUGUAUCGUUUUUCUUAUUUGAUAAAAAUGGCCGUCCUCCACUGGAACUGUUUCACGCUAUGUUCAACACUAUUUGUAUAACAUUGUUCUGCACUGUUCUCAGGCUAAAAUAUGUUCUCCAUAGAGGGCGACCUUAUAUAUGUGAGUCUCUACGCUAGUGUAUAUAAGAAUUUACUGUCCAGAUCUCCGGUGGUGCCCCGUCUGCUGUCAUGGUAAUAUUAACCGCGUUAUAAAUGUUGAGGCAGCAGUUAGGUUUCUUAAGUGCAUCGUCAGUCAGGUGCAAAGUUAAGGCACAUCAUGGGCAUUGAACUUAAAAGCCAGUCACAGAAAAUUCCAGUUUCAUUUUCUGGAGGGACCUCCUUCAAAUGAUCAUGACCGGAUGACAUGAUCAUCAAUCCUCGUAUGUUAAUAGCACUACAGCUAUCAAACUUUUAUAUAAUCAAGAUAGAUUGAACCUAUCCAAUUUUUACAGUGCGAUGGUUGGUUGUUCACGGCCUAGCUGACUGUGAUUAUUAGUAUGUGGUUGCAGUUAUAGACUACAAUUGUAUUUGUAAUCAAGUCGAUACCUAAAAAAAUGCUCAAAAAAUUCUAAAUCUGCAGAAUCAGAUUUGUUAUCCUAAGUCUUAAAAUUUAUUUUAAUAUGUUAACAAAAUGAAUAUCUAGAGUAGUUUAUAUUAGUAACAAAACUGAUAUUAAUUUCAUUCAAAGAAAUGACUCCUCUGCCAAGUCUUUCAGUUAUGGUGGAUUACUUCUGGAAGAUCCCAGCUGUCAUGCCAGCUAUGUGCUGACUUGGCACUUCCCUUGAUCUUGCUGCUUAGAGUGAUAAGAGAAUCUCCAAUGGUUUACAUCCUUCAAGUGGUGUCAACUUUGUCACAUAAUCAAAUAUAAUAUUUUUAAUUAUAUUAUCUUUUUUAAAAAACACCGCAAUGGUUGGCACUCCAAGAUGCCAACUUUACCUAACUUGUCUUAUACAUUAUUGGGUUCAUAAAAUGAAGUUGGCACCCUACUCCGUGGGAUGCCAACUUUUGGCAUCUCAAGUUGGCAGUUGGCACUUGGCACCCCAUGCCACUUCAUUAGGCACUCCGAUGAUAUCCCUAUACUCCAACAGAGUGCUAACAAGGGUUUUCUGCCACGUCAUGCCACAUAGCGUCCCUUCUUGACACUCAUUGUUUAUCUGUAUCCUAAACUUCAAUAGAGUGCUAACAAGAGUAUUUUGGCACGUUAUGCCACAUAGCGUCCCCUCCUGGCACCCAUUGUUAUCUGUAUGUGUUUGGUUUGUUUGUGAAAGAUAGGAUUGGAAGCAAUGCCUAACGCACUCUUAUUGUAACAAAACAGAGGAACUGGUGUCAAUUUUUUGAGACCAAGUUUCAGCAAGUAAAUUAACGACCCAAGCGAGUUCACGAGAGACAUAUCCAAAGGCUCUAUAUUCUGCCUCAGCAGAGGAACGAGACACAAUUGGUUCUUCACCGAUUGCAAGAAGCAUAAAGAUUUUUCGAUCAACGAUAGCGUCUUCUUUUAUGAACAUACGACAAGAGAAUUAUUGGUUCACACAAUUAUUGCUUCACACUCUACAAUAGCAACAUUAGUCAACAAUGUCGACUAAAAAAUACCACAGAUCUGUGAUUAGAUAAUUAAACAUGAUGCACUGGGUGACGAUGGCCAUCGGUGAGAUGCAAUCACAGUAUUUUGGUUAGAAUAUCUUGCAAAAAUUUAAAAUCGAAUAAGAGUUCACUUUCUUUGAGUUUAGUACUGUAACUUAUUAUUGAGUACGAAAGUAUGUUGCAGCAGUCGUGUUAGAUAUUGUGUGCAAAUGAAAGUGGCAACUGAGUACUACUCAUUAUUGUUGAAUAUUCUCUUGGGCUGUCUCGGGUAGCUACCCUAUCCACUUGCUUACUUGUAUGAAAAGAAAACAAUACAGAGAGAACUGAGACACUGAAGAUGGAACAACCACUGCUUGAGACGACACAGGACCACCACGAAAGUCGAGGAGAGGCGUUGGAAGCAUUGUCGUCAUCAUCAUCAUUAGCGAAAAGAUGGGAGGUACUGGUAAUGGGAGAAAUGAAGAAGGUGAGUUACAUAGCAAUGCCGAUGGUGGUCACAACUGUUUCCCAGUACAUGUUGAGGGUGAUUUCCAUGAUGAUGAUAGGCCACCUCGGUGAGCUCUCUCUGUCCGGUGCCUCCAUCGCCACUUCUCUUACCAACGUCACUGGUUUCAGUCUUCUGGUAUAUACCCUUAUCGUCAUAUUAACAUUUUUUAAUAAGUUUACUAAAUUAAUUUACAUAGGAGAAAUGCACUUUGAAAAAUCUAAGUUUGGUUAUUGUAUGGUUGCACCAUAAACUAGAUGAACACGAAGAUUAUAAUGUAAAUUGAUGAUAACUUGCACUUAUGCCAAUUAGUUUGGGAUGUCAAGUGCACUGGAAACACUCUGUGGCCAAGCUUAUGGAGCAGAGCGAUACCAGAUGUUAGGAAUCUAUACCUAUGGAGCCAUCAUAUCUCUCCUUUUAGUCUGUAUACCGAUAUCUAUUCUAUGGAUCUUCACAGAAAAACUUCUUCUUUUGAUUGGUGAAGACCCUUUAAUCUCACACGAAGCUGGCAAUUACUCGAUUUGGCUUAUUCCCAACCUGUUU
RNAcentral lists this long non-coding RNA (4839 nucleotides) under Daucus carota (carrot). RNAcentral's name for it is "long non-coding RNA (DCAR_LNC005260)". The record is from RNAcentral. Lineage: Eukaryota; Viridiplantae; Streptophyta; Magnoliopsida; Apiales; Apiaceae.